UACGGAGGAUCCGAGCGUUAUCCGGAUUUAUUGGGUUUAAAGGGUGCUCAGGCGGGCCAUUAAGUCGGCGGUGAAAUUUUGCGGCUCAACCGUAAAAGUGCCUUCGAUACUGGUGGUCUUGAGUGUGGAUGAGGUAGGCGGAAUUUGUGGUGUAGCGGUGAAAUGCAUAGAUAUCACGAGGAACUCCGAUUGCUAAGGCAGCUUACUAAGCCAUAACUGACGCUCAAGCACGAAGGCGUGGGGAGUCAAACAGGAUUAGAUACCCUGGUA
Molecule: ribosomal RNA, 270 nt
Filed under: uncultured prokaryote
Description: partial 16S ribosomal RNA
Rfam family: Bacterial small subunit ribosomal RNA
Source: RNAcentral